This 439-nucleotide ribosomal RNA is filed under the name uncultured bacterium. RNAcentral describes it as "bacterial SSU rRNA". It matches the Rfam family "Bacterial small subunit ribosomal RNA", at positions 338 to 768 of the family's 1533-position model. The record is from RNAcentral.
CCUACGGGAGGCAGCAGUGGGGAAUAUUGGGCAAUGGGCGCAAGCCUGACCCAGCGACGCCGCGUGCGGGAGGACGCUUUUCGGAGUGUAAACCGCUGUCAGAGGGGACGAACGGCCGGAGUGGGAAUACUGCUCCGGAGUGACGGUACCCUCAAAGGAAGCGCCGGCUAACUCCGUGCCAGCAGCCGCGGUAAGACGGAGGGCGCAAGCGUUGUUCGGAAUCACUGGGCGUAAAGCGCGCGCAGGCGGGUGUGCAAGUCGGAAGUGAAAUCCCGGGGCUCAACUCCGGGGCUGCUGCCGAAACUGCACAUCUGGAGACCGGUAGAGGUGGGUGGAAUUCCCGGUGUAGCGGUGGAAUGCGUAGAGAUCGGGAAGAACACCUGUGGCGAAGGCGGCCCACUGGGCCGGAUCUGACGCUGAGGCGCGAAAGCGUGGGGAG